AAUAUUGCACAAUGGGCGAAAGCCUGAUGCAGCAACGCCGCGUGAGUGAAGAAGGUCUUCGGAUUGUAAAGCACUUUAAGUUGGGAGGAAGGGCAGUAAGUUAAUACCUUGCUGUUUUGACGUUACCGACAGAAUAAGCACCGGCUAACUACGUGCCAGCAUCCGCGGUAAUACGUAGGGUGCAAGCGUUAAUCGGAAUUACUGGGCGUAAAGCGCGCGUAGGUGGUUUGUUAAGUUGGAAGUGAAAGCCCCGGGCUUAACCUGGGAAUUGCUUUCAAAACUGACGAGCUAGAGUACGGUAGAGGGUAGUGGAAUUUCCUGUGUAGCGGUGAAAUGCGUAGAUAUAGGAAGGAACAUCAGUGGCGAAGGCGACUACCUGGACUGAUACUGACACUGAGGUGCGAAAGCGUGGGGAGCAAACAGG
This 424-nucleotide ribosomal RNA is filed under the name uncultured bacterium. RNAcentral describes it as "partial 16S ribosomal RNA". It matches the Rfam family "Bacterial small subunit ribosomal RNA", at positions 360 to 776 of the family's 1533-position model. The record is from RNAcentral.